RNAcentral lists this ribosomal RNA (484 nucleotides) under uncultured bacterium. RNAcentral's name for it is "partial 16S ribosomal RNA". It matches the Rfam family "Bacterial small subunit ribosomal RNA", at positions 30 to 507 of the family's 1533-position model. The record is from RNAcentral.
AUUGAACGCUGGCGGAAUGCUUUACACAUGCAAGUCGAACGGCAGCACGGGGGCAACCCUGGUGGCGAGUGGCGAACGGGUGAGUAAUACAUCGGAACGUGCCCGGUCGUGGGGGAUAACGUAGCGAAAGUUACGCUAAUACCGCAUACGAUCUGAGGAUGAAAGCGGGGGAUCUUCGGGCCUCGCGCGAUCGGAGCGGCCGAUGUCCGAUUAGGUAGUUGGUGGGGUAAAGGGCUACCAAGCCGACGAUCUGUAGCUGGUCUGAGAGGACGACCAGCCACACUGGGACUGAGACACGGCCCAGACUCCUACGGGAGGCAGCAGUGGGGAAUUUUGGACAAUGGGCGCAAGCCUGAUCCAGCCAUUCCGCGUGCAGGACGAAGGCCUUCGGGUUGUAAACUGCUUUUGUAUGGAACGAAAAGGCUCUGGCUAAUACCUGGGGCUCAUGACGGUACCGUAAGAAUAAGCACCGGCUAACUACGUG